AGAAAGGAAAAUUGAUUGAAGUUUUGGUGGAUCCCAGCCAAUACCUAGGGUAGAAUAAGACCCAGAAAUGAUAUAAAAACAGCGAACUUAUGGGAUGAAUCCUUGCUUAUUUUCUUUCUGAACUUUCAGAUUAAACAAUGCUCAGAGAAAAGAGAAAGAAUCCUGCCCCCCACGCCAAUGAAACAGCAUUUUGGAUUUUGUCAUACUGUAAAAAGGUUGCAGUCUUGGAAAAAUAGGGUAGUUUUGAGUCAAAUUAAGAAUCUUUCAUUAGGGUCUUGCUCAAGUACUUUUUGUUUAAACUUUCUACUUGGAAAUAAUUUCAAACUUCAAAAAAAGUUGCAAAAGUAAAAAUAUUAAAAGACACACACACACACAUACACACACACACACACACACACUUAUUCCAUCUACCUAGAUUCAUCUGUCUUUAACAAUUUACCCCCUUUACUUUGUCAUUUGCUUCCAUCUCUCUCUGUAUGCAUAUACAUGUAUAUCUAUACAUGCAUGUAUGUAUGUAUAAGUGUAUGCAUAUACAUAUGCAUGCACACAUGAACACACACCCUUUGAGGCUAAGUUAUUUAUAUCAUAGUCCUUUGACUGCUAAAUAAUAACUGUGUAUUUCCUAAGAAUAAAAAUAUCUCUUACAUAACAACAUCGGAGUUAUAAAUACUUUUAUCUAGUCAUCUGUCCAUAUUCUAAUUUUGUCAGUUGAUCUAAUAAAUGUCUUUCAUACCAUUUCCCCCCUUCUAGUACAGGAUUCAAUCUAGAGUUAGGUAUUGCAAUCAAUUGUCAUGUCUCUUUAGCCUCCUUUAAUCUAGAAUAUUUUCAGAGCCUUUCUUUAUAUUGACAUUUUUGAAAAAUAUAGUCCUCUCUCCCUUUUUAAUAUACCUUUUUUUUGUUUAAAAUUUCAACUUUUAUUUUAGAUACAGGGGUACAUGUACAAGUUGCAUGAGGAUAUUGUGUGAUGCUGAGGUUUGGGGUACAGAUCUUUUCAUUUAGGUAGUGAGCAUGGUACUUGAUAGGUUAUUUUUCAACCCAUGCCUUCCUCCUUCCCUUUAUGCUCUAGUAGUCCACAUUGUCCAUUGUUUCCAUAUUUAUGUCCAGAUGUGCUAAAUGUUUAGCUCCCACUUAUAAGUGAGAACACGUGGUAUUUUUUUUUCCUGUUCCUGCAUUACUUCACUUAGGAUUUUGGCCUCAAACUACAUCCACGUUGCUGCAAAGGACAUGAUUUCAUUCUUUUUAAUGGCUGCAUAGUAUUCCACAGUGUAUAUGUACCACAUUUUUUUUCCAGUCCACAAAUGAUGGACAACUGGGUUGAUUCUAUAUUUUUGAUACUGUGAAGGGCACAGUGAUGAGCAUACAUUUGCACGUCUUUUUGGUAGUAUAAUUUAUUUUCCUUUGGGUAUACACCCAAUAAUGUGAUUGCUAGGUUGAAUGGUAGCACUAUUUUAAGUUCUUUGAGAAAUAUGCAGACUGCUUUCCACGGUGACUAACUUACAUUCCCACCAGAAGUGUAUAAGCGGCUGGGCGCAGUGGCUCAAGCCUGUAACCCCAUCACUUUGGGAGGCUGAGGCAGGAAGAUCACGAGGUCAGGAGAUCGAGAGCAUCCUGGCUAACAUGGUGAAACCCCAUCUCUACUAAAAAUACAAAAAAAUUUCUGGGCGUGUGGUGGCAGGCACCUGUAGUCUCAGCUACUCGGGAGGCUGAGGCAGGAGAAUGGCGUGAACCCGGGAGGUGGAGCUUGCAGUGAGCAGAGAUAGCACUACUGCACUCCAGCCUGGGCAACAGAGCGAGACUCCAUCUCAAAAAAAAAAAAAAGUGUAUAAGCAUUUCUUUUCUUCACAACCUUGCCAACAUCUGUUUUUUGACUUUUUAAUAAUGGCCAUUCUGGCUGGCGGGAGAUGGUAUCUCAUUGUGAUUUUGGUUUGUGUUUCUCUAAUGAUUAGUGAUGUUGAACAUUUUUUCAUGUUUGUUGGCCACUUGUAUCUCUUCUUUUGAGAAAUGUCUGUUCAUAUCCUUUGUCCAUUUUUUUAAAAGGAGUUGUUUUUUGCUUGUUGAUUUGUUUAACUUCCCUUUAAAUUCUGGAUAUUAGGCCUGUUGAUUGUUUCUUUUGCUGUGCAGAAACUUUUUAGUUUAAUUAGGUCCCACUUGUCUACUUUUGUUUUUGUUACAAUUGCUUUUGGGGACUUAACCAAAAAUUCUUUGCCAAGGCUGUUACAGUUUGGCUUUGUGUCCUCACCCAAGUCUCAUGUUGAAUUGUAAUUCCCAGUGUUGGGAGAGAGAUCUGGUGGGAGGUGCUUGAAUCGUGGGGGCAGAUUUCCCCCUUGCUGCUCUUGUGAUAGUGAGUGAGUUCUCACGAGAUCUCACAGAUUUGUUUAAAAGUGUGUAGCAAAAAAGUACUACUCACUUUUUUGUUUGAAAGGGUGUAGGACUUCCUCCUUUGUUCUCUCUCUCUCCUGCUUACUUCCCCUUUGCCCUUCCACCAUGUUUGUAAGUUUUCUGAGGUCUCCCAAGCCAUGCUUCCUGUAUAGCCUGUGGAAUUGCGAGUCAGUUAAACCUCUUUUCUCCAUAAAUUACUCAGUCUCAGGUAUGUCUCUAUAGCAGUGUGAGAAUGGACUAAUACAGAAAAUUGGUGCCAGAGAAGUGGGGCAUUGCUAUAAAGAUACCUGAAAAUGUGGACACAACAUUGGAACUGGGUAAGGAGCAGAGGUUGGAACAGUUUGCAGGGAUCAGAAGAAGGCAGGAAGAUGAGGGAAAGUUUGGAACUUCCUAGAAACUUGUUGAAUGGACCAAAAUGUGGAUAGUGAUAUAGACAGUGAAGCCCGGGCUGUGGUUGUCUCAGAUGGAGAUGUGGAACUUAUUGGGAACUGGAGUAAAGGUAACUUUUGUUAUGCUUUAGCAAAGAGACUGGUGGCAUUUUGCCUCUGCUGUAGAAACCUAUGGAACUUUGAACUUAAGAGAGAUGAUUUAGAAUAUCUGGGAGAAGAAAUUUCUAAGUGCAAAGCAAGUAAAUUGGUGACUUCUUAAAGCCUAUGCUCAUUUGCAUAAACAAAGAAAUAACCUGAAACUAGAACUUAUAUUUAAAAAGGAAGCACAGCAUAAAAGGUUGGAAAAUUUGUAGCCCAACCAUGUGGUAGAAAAGAAAAAUCCAUUUUCUGGGGGGACUUUCGAGGCUGCUGCAGAAGUUUGCAUAAGUAAAGAAGAGCUGAAUGUUAAUAGCCAAGACAAUGGGGAAAAUGCCUCCAAGGCAUUUCAGAGACCUUCACAGCAGCACCUUUCAUCACAGGCCUGGAGGACUAAGAGGGAAAAAUGGUUUCCUGGGCUAGGCCCAGGGCUCCACUGCUCUGUGCAGCCUUGGUACAUGGUGCCCUGCAUCCCAGCCACUCCAGCUCCAACUGUGCCUGAAAGGGGCUCAGUUACAGCUCAGGCUGUUGCUUCAGAGGGUGCAAGCCCAAGCCUUGGAAGCUUCCAUGUGGUUUUGGACCUGCAGGUGCGUAGAAGGUAAGAGUUAAGGUUUGAGAACCUCUCCCUAGAUUUCAAAGAAUGUACGAAAAUGCCUGAAUGUCCAGGUAGAAGUCUGCUGCAGGGGCAGAGCCCUCAGGAAGAACCUCUACUAGGGUAAGGCAAAGGGGAAAUGUGAGCUUGGAACCCCCAUACAUAGUCCCCACUGGGGCACUGCCUAGUGGAGCUGUGAGAAGAGGGCUACUGUUCUCCAGGCCCCAGAAUGGUAGAUCCACUGACAACCUCACCAUGCACCUAGAAAAACUGCAGGCACUCAAUGAUGGCCUGUGAAAGCAGCCAAGAGGACUGUACUCAGCAGAAUCACAGGGGCGGAGCUUUCCAAGGCCUUGGGAGCCCACCCUUUGCAUCAGUGUGACCUGGAUGUGAGACAUAAAGGAGAUUAUUUUGGAGCUUUAAGAUUUAAUGAUGGCCCUGCUGGUGUUCAGACUUGCAUGGGGCCUGUAGCCCCUUUGUUUUGGCCAAUUUCUCCCUUUCAGAAUGGGAGCAUUUACCCAACAUCUGUACCCUCAUUGUAUCUUGGAAGUAACUAACUUGUUUUUUAUUUUACAGGCUCAUAGGCAGAAGGGACUCGCCUUGUCUCAGAUGAGACUUUGGACUUGGACUUUUUACUUAAUGUUGGAAUGAGUUAAGACUUUUGGGGACUGCUAGGAAGGCAUGAUUGUAUUUUGAAAUGUGAGAAGGACAUGAUAUUUGGGAAGGACCCGAGUGGAAUGAUAUGGUUUGGAUCUGUGUCCCCAUCUAAAUCUCAUGUUGAAUUGUAAUUUCCAGUGUUGGGAGAGGGGCUUGGUGGGAGGUGACUGGAUCAUGGAAGUGGGUGUCCCCCUUCCUGUUCCCAGGACAGUGAGUGAGUUCUCAUGAGAUCUUGUUGUUUUUUAAAAGUGUGUAGCACUUUCCCCUUCACUCUGUCACUCCUGCCGCCAUGUGAAGACAUGCUUGGUUCCCCUUCACCCUUCUGCCAUGAUUGUUAAGUUUCCUGAGGCUUCCCCAGCCAUUCCUCCAUACAGCCUGUGGAACUCUGAGUCAAUUAAAUCUCUUUUCUCCAUAAAUUACCCAGUUUCAGGUAUGUCUCUAUAGGUGUGAGAAUGGACUAGUAGAAAGGCCAAUGUCAUCAAUAGUAUUUCCUAGAUUUUCUUCUAGGAUUUUAUAGUUUAAGGUACAUUUAAAUAUUUGAUCCAUUUUGAGUUAAUUUUUUUAUAUGGUGAAAGAUAGGAGUCCAUCUUUGGUCUUCUGCAUAUGGCUAGCCAGUUAUCCCAGCACCAUUUAUUGAAUUAGGAGUUCUUUCCCCAUUGCUUGUUUGUAUCAGCCUUGUUGAAGAUCAGAUAGUUGUACAUGUAUGGCCUUAUUUAUGAAUUUUCUAUUCUGUUGCACGGGUUUAUGUGUCUGUUUUUGUACCAGAACCAAGCUGCUUUGGUUACUGUAGCUUUAUAGUAUAAUUUGAAGUUGGGUAGUGUGAUGCCUCCAGCUUUGUUCUUUUUGUUUUGGAUUGCUUUGGCUAUUCAGCCUUGUUUUUGCUUCCAUAUAGAUGUUAGAAUAGUUUUUUUUUCUAAUUCUGUGAAGAAUAACUUUGGUAGUUUGAUAGAAAUAGCAUUGAAUAUGCAAAUUUCUCUGGCUAGUAUGGCCAUUUAAAAAAUAUUGAUUAUUCCAAUCUAUGAGCAUGGCAUGUUUUUCCAUUUAUUUGUGUCAUCUCUGAUUUCUUUCAACAGUGUUUUGUAGUUUUUCUUGUAGAGAUUGUUCACUUCCUUGGUUAGCAGUAUUCCUAGGUAUUUUGUUUUCUUCAUAGCUAUUGUAAGUGGGUUUGUGUUCUUGAUUUCACUCGCAGCCUGGAUGUUUCUGGUGCAUAGAAAUGCUACUGAUUUAUACACUGAUUCUGUGACCUGAAAUUAUACUAGUCUGUGAGUUGUAGGAGCCUUCUGGCAGAGUCUUUAGGAUUUUCUAUACAGAGUCAUGCCAUAAGUGAAGAGAGAUAGUUUGACUUCUUUCACUAUUGGGAUGGCUUUUGUUUCUUUCUCUUGCCUGAUUGCUCUGGCUAGGACUUCCAGCACUAUGUAUAACAGGAGUGGUGAGAAUGGACAUACUUGUCUUGUUUCAGUUCUCAAGGGGAAUGGCUUGAGCUUUUGCCUAUUCAGUAUGAUGUUGGCUGUGGGUUGGGCAUGUAUAACUCCUAUUAUUUUGAUGUAUGUUCCUUUGAUGCCUAAUCUGUUGAGGAAUUUUUUCAUGAAAGAAUGUUGGAUUUUAUCUUAAGCUUUUUCUGUAUCUAUUGAGAUGAUCAUAUGUCUCUUGCUUUUAAUUCUGUUUAUGUGGUGAAUCCUAUUUAUUGGUAUGAAUAUGUUAAACCAGCCUUGCAUCCCAGAAAUAAAGCCUACUUGAUUAUGGUAUGUUAACUUUUUGAUGUGCUGCUAGAUUUGGUUUGCUAAUAUUUUUGGAAAUUAAAGAACUUCCUCCUGAAUAACUACUGGGUAAAAUAAAAAAAUUCCUUGCAACUAAUGAAAAUAGGUUUACAAGUUACCAAAAUCUCUGGGAUGCAGCCAAAGCAGUGUUAAGAGGAAAGUUUAAAGUCCUAAAUGCUUUCAUCAAGAAGUUAGAAACAUCUAAAAAUUAGCAGUCUAAUUCUGCACCUAAAAGAAUAGAAAACCAACCCCAAAGCUAACAGAAGUAAAAAAAUAAUUAAAAUUAGAGAAGAGCUUAAUGAAGUUGAGAUGCAAAAGAUCCAUGAAACAAAAAGUAGGUUCUUCAAAAAAAUAAAAUAAGAGAUUGAUAGACUGGUAGCAAGAUUAACAAAGAAAAGGAAAGAGAAGAUUCAAAUAAGAACAAUCAGAAACAAUAUUACAACUGAUCCCACGUAAAUACAAAAGAUCCUCAGGGACUAUGAUCAACUAUAUGCACAGAAGUUAGAAAAUCUAGAGGAAAUGGAUAAAUUUCUGGAAACACACAAUCUCCCAAGAUUAAAUCAGGAAGCAAUUGAAAUCUUGAAUAGACUAAUAUCAACUUCUGAAAUUGAAUUAGUAACAAAGAACCUACAAAGCAAAAGAAGCCCUGGACCCAAUGGAUUCACAGCCAAAUUCUACCAGAUGUACAAAGAACUGACACGAUCCUACUGAAACUAUUCCAGAAAAUUGAGGAGGAGGGGCUUUUCCCUAACUCAUUCUCUGAAGCCAGCAUCAGACUGAUACCAAAAUCUGGCAGAGACACAAUGAAAAAAGAGAACUUCAGGCCAAUAUCCCUGAUGAACACAGACACAAUAGAAUAUAUCUUAUUUUGUAUUUAUUUGAUGCUACUUUGUGAUUAGAUUUAGUUUGGUUAUUCUCUGCCCUAAUACUCCAUAGGUGAUAUUGUAUCCUUCCCAGAGUAUUACAUUUGGAGGAGCACAAGAUCCCUGUCUCUCUCACUGAUGAUAUUAAUUUUGAUCACUUGGUCAAGUUCUUGUCUAAUUUCUCCACUGCAUAGUUACUGUUUCUGUUUCUCCUGUGUAACCAAUAAGAUUUUACAGGGAGGCACUUAGAGACCAUGCAUAUAUCCUGAUCUUCAUCAAAAUUUCCUCAACUUAGUAUCCAUUGAUGAUUCUAGCCUGAUGCAAUCUUUAUUAUGCUGAUUACAAAAUGAUAACUUCUGAAUUUCAGCACUCCCUUCGUAUUUCUUAAUCUGCUCUUGAAGUUUUGCUAUAGGUGAGAGCCCUCCUUUCUCUCUCUGUCUCUCUCUGACUACCUAUCUACCUAUCUAUAUAGCUAUCACUUACUACUGGUAAGGACUCAUGAAUUCCUGCUUUUCUCAAUGGUUUCUAACUCAUUAAUAUACUUAACUAUAUCGAUAGUCAAAUUUUCCUAGAUGUAUACAGUGGGAGUCCUUUCAAACUGACUCCUAUAUCCUUCUGACAUACCCUAGCAGUUUUUGGACUAUGUUCUUAUUUUCUGACCUAACAAAGUAUUUCAAGUUCACUUAUGUUUACUUUGUCCUUAGACAUUUCUCUGAGUUCAGUUCCUUUCAGCAGGAAAUUAUACUGAAGACCAAGAUGCGGAUGCUAGGUAUGCUCUUUGCUACCGGGAUAUCUUUCUUUCUUAGUCCUUUCAAAAGGCACAUCUGGGAAAUAUAGGCACAUAUACAUAUUUGCAAUGCAAAACACAUAUGCAUGCUCAAGCACAUUUACACACAGACGUGAUUAAGAUUAAGAUUACCAGUGAAGGACAGGUGGACAUCAUGGGUCUCCAGAUGUGAUGCUUGGGAAGGACACUAACCUUCAUGCGCAUACACAUGCACACACACACACAUAUACACACACAUAUUGUGGAAAUCAUGAGUUUGCAUUGAUACUGCCAAUUUGACUCCAUCCCUGCAUCUACACAGGGUUCUUUCCAGUCUUUCCUUAUUCCAUAUUUAUAUGUUCCUUUUCCCUCAAUGAGAACCUGGGCACCCAAUGACAACACAUUUACAUAAUCUUAUAAUACAGAACAAUGUUUCAAAAUUGCUUUGCUUAUAUCAUUACAAUAAAAAAAUCUUACUACCAAGCCUUCCAGAUUUGCUUACAAUUCUCACCUUGUUCCCACCACCCCCACCCCACCCUACACGAGACUGGGGUAUAUAGUCAAAUAUAUAGUCAAAUUUUGUGUUCCUAGCUACUUGAAUUAGGUUUUUUUUUUUUUGAAAUGGAGUCUUACUCUGUUGCCCAGUCUGGAGUGCAGCGGUGUGAUAGCUCACCACAACCUCCACCUCCUGGGUUCAAGUGAUUCUCCUGCCUCAGCCUCCUGAGUAGCUGGGACUACAGGCACAUGCCACCAUGCCUGGCUAAUUUUUGUAUUUUUAGUAGAGAUGGGGUUUCACCAUGUUGGCCAGGCUGGUCUCAAACUCCUGACUUCGUGAUCUGCCCACCUUGGCCUCCCAAAAUGCUGGGAUUACAGGUGUGAGCCUGGAUUGGAUUAGUUUUUCCUAAAAACUAAUCCACCUGGCCUGGAUUAGUUUUUUCUUUCUUUUUUCUCUUUCAGUGUGCUUAUGGUAUUUAUUUAAAAUACAAAUAGUUUUCUUUCAGUUUUAGUUUUUUUUCCUGUUCUUAUUUAUUUAAUUUUAUUAUUUUAAUACAUAGAAUACUAAUAUUCUUUUUUUCAGACAAAAUUAUACAGAAAGGUAUAUGCAGGAAAGGACACUUCUCCAUAUAUCCGUCACACUCUUCCUUCUUUACCCCUCAACUCCAGCAUUUCUUGAUUUAUCUCUCCUGUUCCUUUUUGUAAAAAUAGGCAUAUACAUAUUUCAUUUUUUUAAUUUUUCCUUCUUUCUUACACAAAGGUAGCAUAUUACAUGCUCUUUGUACUUCACCUUUUUCCCUUAAUAAUAUCUCUGGAAAUCACUCAAUAUCAGUUGAUAGAGAUUUUCUUCUUUUUUGUUUUUACAACUGCACAUUAACUCUAUUUUGUGUAUUUACUACAUUUUAUUCAACCAAUCUCCUAUAUUGGACAUUUAGAUAAUUUCAAAUACUUUGUGAAUACACAUAAUGAUACCAAAAUAAUCUUGUGCAUAUAUAUUCUGAUAUUGUUGGAGGCUGAGUUUCAUGGUGAAUUCCUGAAGAUGAAUUACAAUGUCAAUGAAUAAAUUAAUAUAUAGUUUUGUUAGAUAUCAUCAUAUUCUUCUCAAUAUUGGUGGCACCAUUUUGCACUCCCUUCAGCAGUAUAUGAGUGUGCAUGUUUUCCCCAAAGCCUUGAUAACGGACAAUAUUGUCAAACUUGAAAUUCAUGACAACUAAAUGGAGAAGAACUGAUGUCUCAGUACAUUUUUAAAUUUUGAUUUCUUUUAUUAUGAAUACAUUUCAUGUUUUUCAAAUGAUUAAGAGUCAUUUUAAUUUUUGUGUGUGAAUUAUUUGUUCAUGGCUUUAGCCCAUUUUUCAUAGGAUUUUUCAGUUUUUUAUCCUCAAUAUUUGUAAGUUCUUUAUCAACUAAGUAUAUUGAUAAAGGUAUGUAUAUUGAUAUAUCAUCUGUGAUAUAUGUUGUAAAUAUUUUCACUUACUUUAUUAUUUGUCCUUUGACUUUGCUUUCUCUCUCAUGAAUAUUUUUAUUCUUAAGUAGCUAAAUUUAUCCAUCUUUUCUUUCAUUGCAUAUAUAUUCAUACAAUUGCAGUUAUAUAGAUGUAUACCAUAGAGAAUAGUAUAUGUAUAUAUGCAUACAUAUAUAUAAAACUAUAUAUAGUAUUUAUAUACUAUAACUGUACAUAUAUAUGUAUCUACAAAUACAGCUGUAGAUAGAUUUGCAUGCAUGUAUUAUGUAUAUAUGUAGUUAAGAAAAUAUCCCUUUUUCUCAAGAGUUUUUAGUAGGAAUGGGUGUUGAAUUUUGCCAAAGAUUUUUUAAACAGCUAUGGAGAUUAUUCCUAUCCUUUUUCUCCUUAGUUCUAUUUAUAUGGUAAAUUAUAUUAAGCAAUUUUCUAUCAUCAGAUGCUUCUUACAUUCUUGGUAUAACCCUUAGGUAAUGUUUUCAAGUCCCAUCACUAUGUCUCAGAUAUCAGGGUCUCUACUGCAGUGGCCUUGCCUCUAUUGACAGCCUCCUUUCUGAAGCCUUUAAAAGUAUUUCUCAUAUGUUGUCCCUGAAAUCAUACCUUUUUCUUUAUUAUUUUCUCUUCUUUGCGCAUAACUUAAUUUUUAUAUCUGUAACACUGUACUGUAUAUAUUUGUUUAAAUGUCUCUCUCUUCCAUUAAAUUUUACAUUCACUGAAGGCAAUAAGUAGUUCUUAGAUUUUUUUAAUAUCAAUUUCAUGAGUGUGGAAUCUACAAACCCUAAACUGGCCAUCGAAAAGAGGUAUUCAGGAAAAGUGCUUGUCAGACUUUUCUAGUAACUAGCCACAAAAUUAAAAUCAAUUCUUAUUUAUUACUGUGUUAGAUUUCAGAUUCGUUAGUCACCAAAGCAUGUCCCUUUGAAUCAGUGCAAUGGCUUUAUGUAUAAGAAAAAUCCAAUGCAACCCAAUUAUCUGUAAGAGUGGAAUUAGGCUUAUCUCAAACCAGUGAUGCAAAAAUGAUUCUACCAUAGAUGGAAUUCUCAGAUCCCUGAUCAUCUUCCCAUUCAGCCUUAACAGAUAUUUAAGCUUUGAAGAGAGAAAAUGCAGAAUAGAGAGGUUAACUCUUAUACAUGGCUCUCAGGAUAUGAGGUCCACUAUCAAACUUCUCUGCAGGAUUCAUGUAACUGUUGUUCUAUCCCCUCCAGCCUACCUUCUUGGCACUUUUAAGUACUUUCUGGUGAUAGUUGAAUGGCAUAAUGCUGUAGCCAAUUUUAUUUGGUGAUAUAUCUUCUUUGGACAGUAAAUGGGGUAUAGUCUGACAAAACUCAGGGCAAAUGUGCAUAAGUUUGUGGCAUUCACCCAGGGUAGCUGGAUAUGGCCCCAGCCAUGCUCUCUUCUUUAUGUUGUGAUAUUGGGUUUGUUGCUCUUCCCUAUUAUUCCCCCCAGUGUCCCUCCCCACAAUCACAAUGCCACAGUCUUUGAACAAAUAUGAGGAACCUGAGUGUGCAGAACAGGAAAGAGUUUGGAGAUUUGGAUAACAGAGAUUGGAGGAUACAAAGAUGCUGUCUGAGGAGAAAAAUUUAGAUUCUAUUGUUCCCAUUUCUGUGUUAUUUGCACCCACAAAAUAUCAAGACCCAUCACAGAUGCACCAUUCAAGCUUUAACAAUAAUUCCAAAAGUGUUCCCUGGCCCUGACCUAGCUUAAGGUCAUAGUAUCCUGCUUUCUGGUCAUGCCUUCCUGGCUGGAGCAUGGUGCCUUUGUUAGUAAUCGAGGAAAUCCAGGAAAAAGGUACCUUUGCAGGAGCUGGGAAAUAACUGCCUUGAUUCCCCAAUUCUCACUAUGUGUUUCUGCCAGUUAAUGUGGACACCCAUCCUUUAGCUGGUUGACACAGCCAUGAUUGCUGUUGUCAAACAGUCGGUUAGGCUAUGCAUUUCAGCCCUCGUCUCAGAGAGAACAAAGUUUCUAUAUUUCUGAAGAUUCAACCUUCAGGUUCAAAGCCACCCUCCUAAGUCUGGGUGCCAAGAGGGCUACCUUUAAGGACCUCUUCCCCUGUUCAGAGCCUCUGAGACAUUUUUCAUUAUCUCUGGCCUUAGUAAGUUUCUCUAAACUUUCUUUUCAACUUCUGAUCUUGAUUAAUCUCUUUUCUCUUUCAUUUCCUCAUUUUCUUUGACAUUUUUUAGAGCUUCCCAUCCCCCAGGGUUAAUUAUUUCUACUUUUCAUUGUUUUCUGUUACAAUUUUUAGCAUAUACUACCAAGGCAUAAAAAAAAAAAAUUAUCGCUUCUCAGCCUUUUGGCUAAGAUCAAGUGUAAAAAAAAAAUAUUGACCUAAAAGCACACAAAGCAGCAGCUCUUGUCUAUAGUAAAAGGAGAUACCAAAGCAAUUAAAUAUUGAUUACACUCUAGGCUAGAAAUCAGAGAGCUGGGUCAUCACGUUGGUUUUACCAUUUCUAAUUGUGUGACCUUGGACAAGUCAAUUUCACAGAACCCUUAACUCAUUUUGUAAAACGACCUCUAAAACCCAUCCUGGUCAAAUGUUCUAUGAUUUUUAAAGAUCUAUAAAUGCAAAGUUAUUUUGGGGAAGUCAACCAUAUCUUCUUGUUAAAACAAAACUCAUGCUGAACCAAAGAAAAUAGAAAAUACUAUUUUUUUAAAAAAAUAAAGCACGCAUUAGGCACUUACGUAUGAGCUAAAAUAUGCCUACCUCUGGAUCUAUAUGUGUAGGUUAACUAUUGCUACAAUGUUGUGUAAUAACCACACAAUUUCAGUGGCAUGCAAUAAUAUCUAACUUAUGUGCCUGUUGAGGUAGGCUGUGAGUUUUGCUGAUCUGGACUGGACCAGCCUUGGGUGGUACUGCUCCAUGAGCCUUUCUUUUUCUUCUUGGCACAGUAGGCUAGUCUGAAAACGAUCUUCUCAUGGUGAUGGUAGAAAAGAAGAGAGUGAAUCCAAUCAUAGAAGUACUUUUCAAGCCUUGGGUUAGUCGUGCCCAUGAUAUUCCAUUGCAAAACAAAUCAUGUUAUCAAGCUGAGGAGUUCUCCUGGUGCAGGUGGGUAAGGAAACGAACAUAUGAAUAACAAUGUUAACUAACACAUAGUGCUUUGGAAAUGAGUGACAAACAUGCGUACAUAUGGCUUUUUCUCAGUGAAAAUGAAACUUUAGGGAUUAGGAUCUAGUAUUGCUAUUUCUCCUAUGAGACAGAGCUAAAUUCACUAACAGAGACAGGAGUUGCUGGUUGAGUCAGACUCUAUGAAUUUACUCGCACACAAUUUAAGGCUCAAAUGAAACUGUCAUUUUAGUCAAAUAAGGGUGGUCAAGCUCACAGUACUAACUAAAAGGCAACUGGAGCCCCUCUAAUUUGCAGGUUUGUGAAAAGUUCCUCUGAACUACUCACUGAAGAUCCCUCCAUUGAUAAGCAACCGCUCACUCUAUUCAAGUGGUAAUGAAUGUGCAAAUGCUGACCAGAACUUAAUUACGAUACUAAAAGAGUGUACUUCAAAGAAGAGCUAAUAUAAAAACACAGAGAGACACCUGUCAUCUGAUAGAUUGAUAAAUUACAUGAAUUUAUGUUAUACUGUAAAACUGUCUCUCCCUUUAGUGAAACAAUCCAAAUACCUCCAACUCUGCCACUCUCUACUCCUAACUCUGCCACUCCCUACCCCCACUUUCUGCUUGUAUUCAUAUAUUAUAGUAAAACAGUAAAAUAAAACCACAAUGCUUUGUAUACAAAUUACUGAUGAUUAAGUCUUGUUAAAUACAAAUAGCCAUACACAUGAAGCAAAGCAACAGCCAUACAUAUGAAGCUAGCAUUUGUUUCUUGAGAACUAAUAAGGAACUAAAGAUAAAUAAUUAAGGCAGGUAAACAGUUUAUUUUUCUAGUUGUUGAGCUGUAUAGUU
This 13377-nucleotide long non-coding RNA is filed under the name Homo sapiens (human). RNAcentral describes it as "HSALNT0058668". The record is from RNAcentral. Lineage: Eukaryota; Metazoa; Chordata; Mammalia; Primates; Hominidae.